RNAcentral lists this unclassified non-coding RNA (1009 nucleotides) under Gigantopelta aegis. Its description in RNAcentral is "uncharacterized LOC121383052, transcript variant X3". Lineage: Eukaryota; Metazoa; Mollusca; Gastropoda; Neomphalida; Peltospiridae. The record is from RNAcentral.
ACACUGAUCCAGUCGAUUUGACCCGCAUCUGACCUGUGACGUAACAUCAUGUGAAUUCCACUCAUUCAUUAGUAGGCUAGCAUUGCGACCAGCAUGUAAUGAUUCUUCGGAAAAUAGCUCAUUCUUAUCGGACGUUAGUUUGGACAUUUCGGACUUGUCGCAUUUGCCUAUUUAUUCUAAUGCUACCUCGACUGGUGAGGAAGGAGAAAAUCCGUCAGCUUGAACCAUAGUACACCGACGAGGAUCCGGCGAGCCAAAUGUGCUGCUUGCGAUGCGGAUCCAGACUUGACUUUCUUGGAGUCUGGCGAUGGUUGUGAAGCUACCACCCCAGCACCACCAUUGUGAUCUAUGCAGGCGCAGAAGUGGUUUGUGCAGCUGCUGGUGGCGCCCUCAUCACACUGGACACGCUGGAGAAGAACGCCCUGAUGGUGGAUACCAUCAGAACAUGUGAGUCAUAUAAUCAUGUUUACAUGUAGUAACAUAUUUCCUGUGCUGCACUGUGAUGUAACCAAUUCAAUUUGUCUGAACAGUCAAUGCAAGUAAAUGUUAAAGUGUUGGGGUUUUUUUUAACUGUCCUAAGAAUUAACACCGUUCUAUGGGACAGUACUAAAUAUGGAUGUUGUACAUUUAAAACAUUUUUUAAUAUCCAGCCAAUUCCUUCAGAAAGAGAGAUGAAUGUCUGAUACAUGUAUUGUUGUUUUCCUCUGUAUCCUAUAUAAUAUAUUAUCACUUGUUUUGUAGUGUGCAUAGCCAACAGCUUCUGGAUCGACCUCAAGUUUGUGGGUGAUCAGUGGGUGUGGCAAGGUAAUGGUAACCAAGCUACGUUCACAGAUUGGGCUUCUGGAGAACCCGAUAACAAUCAAGAUUGUGCAUCCUUGAACAAAGCUAAAAAGCAUCGCUGGUUUGACCGACCCUGCAGCAACGCUAACAGGAAUGGAGCACUUUGUGAAAUUACUGUGCCAUAAACCAACUUUGGUAAAUGAUAAAAUAAAAAAUCUAAUUAGCAAGU